ACUUAAGCUAACCUAUUUAGACCAAUUAACCUAUUAGUGUCUUAGAUAAGUAAUUGAGAAAUAAUUAUUUAAUUAAUUUUAUUCACUUACUUGAUCAAUUUAUUGAUGUCUAAAGAAAGCAACAGGGGGAUUUCUAUCGAUCUCCACUUAUCUAGUCAAUUUGGAAGAUUGAGUCUUAUAUAAGGUUGUUUGACGGUUUGGUUUAGCCCAUGCC
Molecule: long non-coding RNA, 214 nt
Filed under: Elaeis guineensis (African oil palm)
Lineage: Eukaryota; Viridiplantae; Streptophyta; Magnoliopsida; Arecales; Arecaceae
Description: long non-coding RNA (EGUI_LNC054717)
Source: RNAcentral